Molecule: long non-coding RNA, 577 nt
Filed under: Dasypus novemcinctus (nine-banded armadillo)
Lineage: Eukaryota; Metazoa; Chordata; Mammalia; Cingulata; Dasypodidae
Description: lncRNA (ENSDNOG00000051699.1)
Source: RNAcentral
AAAUUUAGAAAUAUGAUCUUUGUUCUUAAAUUUAGAAUUGAAUGGCUUUUAAUAUAAAUGUUCCUCUAAGGAUUUUUUUUUUUUUUUUAGGUGGUACAGGGGAUUGAACCCAGGACCUCAUAUAUGGGAAGCAGGCACUCAACCACCGAGCUACAUGAAUGGCUUUUAAGAUGGAUUCAUGCUAGCCCAGCUUCUAAGAGCAUGGGACCUUAAAAAAGGACUCCUCCCUGGAGGGCAGCCUGCAAUCAGAAGGCCUCAGAGUAAGAGCAUCUGUGGUGCACAUCAGUGGCCAGAGCUGACGGAGGGUCAGAAGCUGUCAACUGAAGGAGAGAUGUGAAAUGAAGAGAGAGAGAGGCAGCUGCAGAGCCCAGCAGGGACCCUCUGAGCCCCCACAAAAGUGAACAUGAGAAAAAGAGGCAGCUUUCAACACCUGCUGGGUGCAGAGAUUGCAAAGCCAUCUUAUGAAAGUGUCAAGUGAGAGCUUUCCCACAUCCUCCUUCUACCUUCUUUCCCUAUGUCCCAUGACAGGGCCAGAAAUCAGGAGAAGCAAGUUCAGGGAAGAGAUGGAGGGAGACUG